AACAGUAAUCAGUACAAAUGCAGUAAUGCAACCCAUCCCAAUCCAGCUAACACACCACUCCGUACCACCAACACACCAUGUGGGGAUAAAAUCGACCCACCCAGCCAACACACCAAAAUCGCAACAAAGCUGCCAGUAUUAGUAACGCAACAAAACUGCCAGUAACAGUAUCGCAGCAAAGCUGCUAGUAUCAGUAUCGCAGCAAAGUUGCCAGUAACAAUAUUUGUGGCAAAGCCACCAAAACAGUACACUUCCCCUGUAU
Molecule: long non-coding RNA, 262 nt
Filed under: Gossypium barbadense (sea-island cotton)
Lineage: Eukaryota; Viridiplantae; Streptophyta; Magnoliopsida; Malvales; Malvaceae
Description: long non-coding RNA (GBAR_LNC020865)
Source: RNAcentral